This 253-nucleotide ribosomal RNA is filed under the name uncultured bacterium. Its description in RNAcentral is "partial 16S ribosomal RNA". It matches the Rfam family "Bacterial small subunit ribosomal RNA", at positions 524 to 776 of the family's 1533-position model. The record is from RNAcentral.
UACGUAGGGUGCAAGCGUUGUCCGGAUUUAUUGGGCGUAAAGAGCGUGUAGGCGGCCAGGUAGGUCAGCUGUGAAAACUCGAGGCUCAACCUCGAGACGCCGGUUGAAACCAUCUGGCUAGAGUCCGGAAGAGGAGAGUGGAAUUCCUGGUGUAGCGGUGAAAUGCGCAGAUAUCAGGAAGAACACCCGUGGCUAAGGCGGCUCUCUAGUACGGUACUGACGCUGAGACGCGAAAGCGUGGGGAGCGAACAGG